AACGAACGCUGGCGGCAGGCCUAACACAUGCAAGUCGAACGAACUCUUCGGAGUUAGUGGCGGACGGGUGCGUAACGCGUGGGAACGUGCCCUUUGGUUCGGAAUAACUCCGGGAAACUUGUGCUAAUACCGGAUGUGCUCUUCGGGGGAAAGAUUUAUCGCCAUUGGAUGGGCCCGCGUCUGAUUAGCUAGUUGGUGAGGUAAAGGCUUACCAAGGCGACGAUCAGUAGCUGGUCUGAGAGGAUGACCAGCCACACUGGGACUGAGACACGGCCCAGACUCCUACGGGAGGCAGCAGUGGGGAAUCUUGCGCAAUGGGCGAAAGCCUGACGCAGCCAUGCCGCGUGAAUGAUGAAGGUCUUAGGAUUGUAAAAUUCUUUCACCCGGGACGAUAAUGACGGUACCGGGAGAAUAAGCCCCGGCUAACUUCGUG
This 433-nucleotide ribosomal RNA is filed under the name uncultured bacterium. RNAcentral's name for it is "partial 16S ribosomal RNA". It matches the Rfam family "Bacterial small subunit ribosomal RNA", at positions 29 to 507 of the family's 1533-position model. The record is from RNAcentral.